RNAcentral lists this ribosomal RNA (1285 nucleotides) under metagenome. RNAcentral describes it as "bacterial LSU rRNA". It matches the Rfam family "Bacterial large subunit ribosomal RNA", at positions 1630 to 2925 of the family's 2925-position model. The record is from RNAcentral.
AAGAAGUAGUGCCCGUACCGCAAACCGACACAGGUAGAUGAGGAGAGAAUCCUAAGGCCGGCGGAAGAAUUGCAGUUAAGGAACUAGGCAAAUUGACCCCGUAAGUUCGCGAGAAGGGGUGCCUGCGAGAGCAGGCCGCAGAGAAUAGGCCCAAGCAACUGUUUAGCAAAAACACAGGCCUCUGCUAAAGCGUAAGCUGAUGUAUAGGGGCUGACGCCUGCCCGGUGCUGGAAGGUUAAGGGGAACACUUAGCGCAAGCGAAGGUGUGAACUUAAGCCCCAGUAAACGGCGGCCGUAACUAUAACGGUCCUAAGGUAGCGAAAUUCCUUGUCAGGUAAGUUCUGACCCGCACGAAUGGCGUAAUGACUUGGGCACUGUCUCAACCGCAAAUCCGGCGAAGUUGUAGUGCGAGUGAAGAUGCUCGCUAUCCGCGAUUGGACGGAAAGACCCCGUAGAGCUUUACUGUAGCUUAGCAUUGAAUUCCGGUAUUGUCUGUACAGGAUAGGUGGGAGACUGGGAAACUAGGGCGUCAGCCUUAGUGGAGUCAACCUUGGGAUACCACCCUGACAGUACUGGGGUUCUAACAGGACGCCAUGAAUCUGGUGACUGGACAUUGUUAGGUGGGCAGUUUGACUGGGGCGGUCGCCUCCUAAAAAGUAACGGAGGCGCCCAAAGGUUCCCUCAGAACGGUCGGAAAUCGUUCGUAGAGUGCAAAGGCAGAAGGGAGCCUGACUGCGAGACAUACAAGUCGAGCAGGGACGAAAGUCGGGCUUAGUGAUCCGGUGGUACCUCGUGGGAGGGCCAUCGCUCAACGGAUAAAAGCUACCUCGGGGAUAACAGGCUGAUCUCCCCCAAGAGUCCACAUCGACGGGGAGGUUUGGCACCUCGAUGUCGGCUCGUCGCAUCCUGGGGCUGUAGUAGGUCCCAAGGGUUGGGCUGUUCGCCCAUUAAAGCGGCACGCGAGCUGGGUUCAGAACGUCGUGAGACAGUUCGGUCCCUAUCCGUCGCGGGCGUAGGAAAUUUGAGAGGAGCUGUCCUUAGUACGAGAGGACCGGGAUGGACUGACCUCUGGUGUACCAGUUGUUCCGCCAGGAGCAUGGCUGGGUAGCUAAGUCGGGAAGGGAUAAACGCUGAAAGCAUCUAAGCGUGAAGCCUCCCUCAAGAUGAGAUUUCCCAUAGCAUAAGCUAGUAAGACCCCUUGAAGAACACAAGGUUGAUAGGUCAGAGGUGUAAGUGCGGUAACGUAUUUAGCUGACUGAUACUAAUAGGUCGAGGGCUUGACCAG